Molecule: ribosomal RNA, 429 nt
Filed under: Chloroflexota bacterium
Lineage: Bacteria; Bacillati; Chloroflexota
Description: Chloroflexi bacterium partial 16S ribosomal RNA
Rfam family: Bacterial small subunit ribosomal RNA
Source: RNAcentral
UGGGGAAUAUUGCACAAUGGGCGCAAGCCUGAUGCAGCCAUGCCGCGUGUAUGAAGAAGGCUUUCGGGUUGUAAAGUACUUUCAGCGGGGAGGAAGGGAGUAAAGUUAAUACCUUUGCUCAUUGACGUUACCCGCAGAAGAAGCACCGGCUAACUCCGUGCCAGCAGCAGCGGUAAUACGGAGGGUGCAAGCGUUAAUCGGAAUUACUGGGCGUAAAGCGCACGCAGGCGGUUUGUUAAGUCAGAUGUGAAAUCCCCGGGCUCAACCUGGGAACUGCAUCUGAUACUGGCAAGCUUGAGUCUCGUAGAGGGGGGUAGAAUUCCAGGUGUAGCGGUGAAAUGCGUAGAGAUCUGGAGGAAUACCGGUGGCGAAGGCGGCCCACUGGACGAAGACUGACGCUCAGGUGCGAAAGCGUGGGGAGCAAACAGG